RNAcentral lists this long non-coding RNA (245 nucleotides) under Carica papaya (papaya). Its description in RNAcentral is "long non-coding RNA (CPAP_LNC007080)". The record is from RNAcentral. Lineage: Eukaryota; Viridiplantae; Streptophyta; Magnoliopsida; Brassicales; Caricaceae.
AAUGGUUCAUUAAGGAUUUUUCUUGUAUUGCUGCUCCCUUAACUAAUCUCACCAGAAAAUUAUUUUUCUUUGAUUAGGAUAAAAUGUGUGAAGAAAUUUUUAUCAAACUCAAACGUUGACUCAGCACUGCUAUGGUGUUAAUCCUCCUUGAUAAUACUGGAUGAUUUCAGGUUUUCUAGGAUGUGUCUCAUAUUGAUCUAAGAUGUGUACUCAUGCAGCAUGAUCGGGUAGUGGCUUAUAGUUCC